AUACAGAGGGUGCAAGCGUUAAUCGGAAUUACUGGGCGUAAAGCGCGCGUAGGCGGUUUGUUAAGUUGGAUGUGAAAGCCCCGGGCUUAACCUGGGAGGGUCAUUCAAAACUGGCAGACUAGAGUGUGGUAGAGGGUAGUGGAAUUCCUAGUGUAGCGGUGAAAUGCGUAGAGAUUAGGAGGAACACCAGUGGCGAAGGCGACUGCCUGGACCAACACUGACGCUGAGGUGCGAAAGCGUGGGUAGCGCACAGGAUUAGAUACCCCAGUAGUCC
Molecule: ribosomal RNA, 274 nt
Filed under: uncultured bacterium
Lineage: Bacteria
Description: partial 16S ribosomal RNA
Rfam family: Bacterial small subunit ribosomal RNA
Source: RNAcentral